Molecule: ribosomal RNA, 497 nt
Filed under: uncultured bacterium
Lineage: Bacteria
Description: partial 16S ribosomal RNA
Rfam family: Bacterial small subunit ribosomal RNA
Source: RNAcentral
GAUGAACGCUGGCGGCGUGCCUAAUACAUGCAAGUCGAGCGAACAGACGAGGAGCUUGCUCCUCUGACGUUAGCGGCGGACGGGUGAGUAACACGUGGAUAACCUACCUAUAAGACUGGGAUAACUUCGGGAAACCGGAGCUAAUACCGGAUAAUAUAUUGAACCGCAUGGUUCAAUAGUGAAAGACGGUUUUGCUGUCACUUAUAGAUGGAUCCGCGCCGCAUUAGCUAGUUGGUAAGGUAACGGCUUACCAAGGCAACGAUGCGUAGCCGACCUGAGAGGGUGGUGGCCCACAGGGGAACUGAGACACGGCCCACACUCCUACGGGAGGCGGCAGUGGGGAUUCUUCCGCAAGGGGGGAAAGCCUGACGGAGCAACGCCGGGGGAGUGAUGAAGGUCUUCGGAUCGAAAAACUCUUUUAUGGGGGAAAAAAAAAUGUGAAAUUACCUAUGCCCGUCUGGAGGUUCCUUAAUAAAAAAGCCCCGGCUAACUACGUC